AUACCGGAUGGUAUAGUUUUCCCGCAUGGGAUGAUUAUUAAAGAAUUUCGGUUGUCGAUGGGGAUGCGUUCCAUUAGGCAGUUGGCGGGGUAACGGCCCACCAAACCUACGAUGGAUAGGGGUUCUGAGAGGAAGGUCCCCCACAUUGGAACUGAGACACGGUCCAAACUCCUACGGGAGGCAGCAGUGAGGAAUAUUGGUCAAUGGACGAGAGUCUGAACCAGCCAAGUAGCGUGAAGGAUGACUGCCCUAUGGGUUGUAAACUUCUUUUAUACGGGAAUAAAGUGAGCCACGUGUGGCUUUUUGUAUGUACCGUAUGAAUAAGGAUCGGCUAACUCCGUGCCAGCAGCCGCGGUAAUACGGAGGAUCCGAGCGUUAUCCGGAUUUAUUGGGUUUAAAGGGAGCGUAGGCGGGUUGUUAAGUCAGUUGUGAAAGUUUGCGGCUCAACCGUAAAAUUGCAGUUGAUACUGGCGACCUUGAGUGCAACAGAGGUAGGCGGAAUUCGUGGUGCAGCGGUGAAAUGCUUAGAUAUCACGAAGAACUCCGAUUGCGAAGGCAGCUUACUGGAU
This 569-nucleotide ribosomal RNA is filed under the name uncultured bacterium. Its description in RNAcentral is "bacterial SSU rRNA". It matches the Rfam family "Bacterial small subunit ribosomal RNA", at positions 166 to 734 of the family's 1533-position model. The record is from RNAcentral.